This 933-nucleotide long non-coding RNA is filed under the name Actinidia chinensis (golden kiwifruit). RNAcentral's name for it is "long non-coding RNA (ACHI_LNC000061)". Lineage: Eukaryota; Viridiplantae; Streptophyta; Magnoliopsida; Ericales; Actinidiaceae. The record is from RNAcentral.
UCUACAAAACCAAAAUUCCCAAAAUCACAAUCCGAAACCUUAACGUUCAGUUCAAUUGCCGAGAACACAGGACAACAACACAAAUUGGCUCGAUCAAGGAAAACUUUUACCAUUCUCACGAAUAUAAAUCAGAAACCCUAAAUAUUGCUCGAUUCCAAUUUGUUUGCUCGAGAAAAGGAACCACGAUUCAACAAUAUCAAAACACACGCAAAAUAUUAUACGAAACCCUUACGUCCAGUUCAAUCGCGAGAGCACAACGCAAAUUGGCUUGAUUUAGGCAAAUCCCAUUGUUCUCGCGAAUAUAAACAUAAAAAUAAAAAUAAAAAUCACCACAAAUGUUUUCUAAAUUUCACAGCAUCACGAACUGUAGAAAGGUAAGAGCAAAUAUUAUCAAUCAGAAACCAUAAUAUAACUCGAUUCCCCUUCUAUUGAAGGAUCAACUACACAAUAAGAUCAAAAACUCACAAAACAACGACCCGAAACCCAAAACUAUUGACAAAACACAAAUUGGCUCCAUCAACGCAAAUUUCGUCGUUCUCACGAGUAUAAAAAAAAAAUGACCUAAUUGGAAACGCAUCAGAAUUGGAGGCAACAAAAAGAUUUUGACCACAAGUGUGAGAUUAUUUUGAGAGCGAGAAACCCUAAUAUAAUUCGAUUCCCCUCCGGUUGCUCAAAAAACAAUAAGUUCUUUAGAGAGAGAACAGAACCAGUUUGAGAUGUGUUCGAACGACGGGAGUGAUCUGGCGGAAGUUCUUAGGAGAAUUGUAUGUCCACAUGGUGCGAGAAGACGAUUGGGAUUUGGAGAACUACUCAAGCACAAAACUCGGAACGCUUGGAGAGACGUUGGCAAGAUUUAUCAUAUAGAGAGAGUCCUGGAAGAGGAGGGGUAAAAUGGGCAAUAUCAGAAACUUAAUUCUGUCUUCAACAACUUCC